RNAcentral lists this ribosomal RNA (451 nucleotides) under uncultured bacterium. Its description in RNAcentral is "partial 16S ribosomal RNA". It matches the Rfam family "Bacterial small subunit ribosomal RNA", at positions 28 to 507 of the family's 1533-position model. The record is from RNAcentral.
GAUGAACGCUGGCGGCGUGCCUAACACAUGCAAGUCGAGCGGCAGCGCGGGGUGCUUGCACCCUGUCGGCGAGCGGCGGACGGAUGAGUAACGCGUGGGAACGUGCCCCAUAGUGAGGAAUAACUGACCGAAAGGGUAGCUAAUAACGAAUAUUAUCUUCGGACCAAAGGAUUUAUCCGCUGUGGGAGCGGCUCGCGUCGGAUUAGGUAGUUGGUGAGGUAAUGGCUCACCAAGCUGACGAUCCGUAGCUGGUCUGAGAGGAUGACCAGCCAGACUGGAAAGGAGACACGGUCCAGACUCCUACGGGAGGCAGCAGAGACGAAUCUUCCACAAUCGGCGAAAGCCUGAUGGAGCAACGCCUCGUAAAGGACUUAUGCCUUCAAGUUGUAAACUGCUUUUAUAAGUGAGCAAUUUGACGGUAACUUAUGAAUAAGGAACGGCUAACUACGUG